GUUGACCCCUUUAGGAGUUAUUGCCCUUUAUAGUCAAUUUUUAACCAUUUUUCGUAAAUCUUAGUAAUCUAUUACAAAAAUCUUCUCCUCUGAAACUACUUGGCCAAAUUAAUCCAAACUUGGCCACAAUCAUCUUUGGGGUAUCUAGUUUAAAAAAUGUGUGGCGUGACCCGGCCAACCAACCAAGAUGGCCACCAUGGCUAAAAAUAGAACAUAGGGGUGAAAUGUAGAUUUUGGCUUAUAACUCUGAAACCAAAGCAUUUAGAGCAAAUCUGACAUGGGGUAAAAUUGUUCAUCAAGUGAAAAUUUAUCAGCCUUGAAACUUUCAAAUGAAUAGGACAACCGGUUAUUGGGUUGCUGCACCGAA
This 367-nucleotide long non-coding RNA is filed under the name Mytilus galloprovincialis (Mediterranean mussel). Lineage: Eukaryota; Metazoa; Mollusca; Bivalvia; Mytilida; Mytilidae. The record is from RNAcentral.